GACGGAGGGUGCAAGCAUUGAUCGGAAUUACUGGGCGUAAAGGGCGCGUAGGCGGUAUAGUAAGUCAGACGUGAAAUUCUGGGGCUCAACCCCAGAGCUGCGUUUGAAACUCCAUCCCUAGAGGGUAGGCGGAGAAAACGGAAUUCCACAAGUAGCGGUGAAAUGCGUAGAUAUGUGGAAGAACACCGGUGGCGAAAGCGGUUCUCUAGCUAAUAACUGACGCUGAGGCGCGAGAGCAAGGGGAUCAAACAGG
RNAcentral lists this ribosomal RNA (253 nucleotides) under uncultured bacterium. Its description in RNAcentral is "partial 16S ribosomal RNA". It matches the Rfam family "Bacterial small subunit ribosomal RNA", at positions 524 to 776 of the family's 1533-position model. The record is from RNAcentral.